CCUUACCUGGCCUUGACAUACUAAGAACUUUCCAGAGAUGGAUUGGUGCCUUCGGGAACUUAGAUACAGGUGCUGCAUGGCUGUCGUCAGCUCGUGUCGUGAGAUGUUGGGUUAAGUCCCGCAACGAGCGCAACCCUUUUCCUUAUUUGCCAGCGGGUUAAGCCGGGAACUUUAAGGAUACUGCCAGUGACAAACUGGAGGAAGGCGGGGACGACGUCAAGUCAUCAUGGCCCUUACGGCCAGGGCUACACACGUGCUACAAUGGUCGGUACAAAGGGUUGCUACCUAGCGAGAGGAUGCUAAUCUCAAAAAGCCGAUCGUAGUCCGGAUCGCAGUCUGCAACUCGACUGCGUGAAGUCGGAAUCGCUAGUAAUCGCGGAUCAGAAUGCCGCGGUGAAUACGUUCCCGGGCCUUGUACACACCGCCCGUCACACCAUGGGAGUUUGUUGCACCAGAAGUAGGUAGUCUAACCGCAAGGAGGACGCUUACCACGGUGUGGCCGAUGACUGGGGUGAAGUCGUAACAAGGUAAGCGUAGAUGA
RNAcentral lists this ribosomal RNA (541 nucleotides) under uncultured bacterium. RNAcentral's name for it is "bacterial SSU rRNA". It matches the Rfam family "Bacterial small subunit ribosomal RNA", at positions 969 to 1509 of the family's 1533-position model. The record is from RNAcentral.